Molecule: ribosomal RNA, 433 nt
Filed under: uncultured bacterium
Lineage: Bacteria
Description: partial 16S ribosomal RNA
Rfam family: Bacterial small subunit ribosomal RNA
Source: RNAcentral
AACGAACGCUGGCGGCAUGCCUAACACAUGCAAGUCGAACGAGACCUUCGGGUCUAGUGGCGCACGGGUGCGUAACGCGUGGGAACCUGCCCUUAGGUUCGGAAUAACUCCCCGAAAGGGGUGCUAAUACCGGAUAAUGUCUUCGGACCAAAGAUUUAUCGCCUUUGGAUGGGCCCGCGUUGGAUUAGCUAGUUGGUAGGGUAAAAGCCUACCAAGGCGACGAUCCAUAGCUGGUCUGAGAGGAUGAUCAGCCACACUGGGACUGAGACACGGCCCAGACUCCUACGGGAGGCAGCAGUGGGGAAUAUUGGACAAUGGGCGAAAGCCUGAUCCAGCAAUGCCGCGUGAGUGAUGAAGGCCUUAGGGUUGUAAAGCUCUUUUAACCGGGAUGAUAAUGACAGUACCGGGAGAAUAAGCGCCGGCUAACUACGUG